UCCGAAUUUAGAACAUCUAGUGAAUAUGUAAAACUUAUACUUUUAUAUAGCGGUUUAUACUACUAUAUAUUAGUAUACAAAGAAAUUAUUAGGGACAUUUAGCUGUACAUUAAAGAGAGGUUAAGUUUGCGAAAGAAAGCAUACGACUCUAAGAGAAAUCCAAUAUUUAAACUAAGCGAAUUGAAAUAUCUUAGUAGCUUAAGGAAAAGAAAUCAAAUGAGAUUCUAAGAAUAGCGAGAGUGAAAUUAGAAAAGUCUGAAAGUAAAAUGGUAAAUAGACUGUUUGAAUACAUGGGGAACCUUCCUCAAAGACUAAAUAUAAUGUACAAGCGAUAGUGAAUAGUACCAAGAGGGAAAAAUGUGAAAUAGUAAUUUUAUAAGCAGUUCGAAUAGAACGUACCUUUUGCAUAAUGGGUCACCAAGUUAACAUUAGAUGCAAGAAAAUGCGUAGUUAAACCGGACGUUAAAAUAACGAAAAGAGUAUCUAAAGUUAGACCCGAAACCUGGUGAUUUUACCAUAAUCAGGAUUAUAAAAGUCCGAACGGGUUAUUGUAGCAUAAAUAUCCGAAGAAUUAUGGUAGGUGUAGUGAAAGACAAUACUGACCAGGAGAUAGCUGGUUUUCUGCGAAACCUAUAAUAGUAGGCAAUUUAAGUAAAUAUCUUAGCAGGUACAGAAUUUAAUCUCAGGCAAACAAUUGCGCAUAUGGGGGGAUCGUGAAGAUUUUACCCGUGAGUAUGUAGACUCGGAAUGGCAAAGAUAAAACUUGAAUGAUCAGACAUAGAAUGAUAAGGUUGUAUGUCAAAAGGGAAACAGCCCAGAACAAGAGUUAAGGUUCCUAAAUUAUUAGUUAAGUGAAAUGAAGAAUGUAUUUAUUAAAGUCGACAAGGAGAUAGGCUUAGAAGCAGCCACAAUUUAAUGAACUCGUAACAGAGCACUUGUUAAUUUAUAAGUAGCGUCGAUAAUUUAACGGAUCUAAACAAUAUACCGAAACCUUGUCCAUACCAAGUUAUAAAAAUUAUAAUAGUAUGGGGUAGCAGAACGUUGAAUUAAACAUUGACUUUUAUUUUUCAAAUAAAAUUAUUAGUUAAUUCAAGUGAUAAUGGUGACAUGAGUAACUAAAAGAAAUAAAAUUUUCCGCCUAAAGCUUAUGGCUAGAAACACACUUAAGUGCGGCCUCUAAGUUUUGAAUCUAAAGAUUAAAACGAUGAGAAAAACUUAUUUAUUUAUAACAACAUUUUAAGUGGAAAAUGUGCUGGAAAAAUAAAUAUAUUAACAUAACCGUACCUAGAGCCUGACACAAGUAAGCAAGUAGAGAAUACGAAGGCGAGAGAGCUAACAAUCAUAAAGGAACUCGGCAAAUUGACUACUGUAACUUCGGGAUAAGGAGAGCUCAUACUUCUUGGUUAAUAUCAAGUAAAAGGGAAGAAGCAUGAAAUAAUGUUGUACGACUGUUUAAUUAAAACACAGCACUUUGCUGAAAGAUAAAAAAAUCUAUGUAUAAAGUGUGAAAUCUGCCCGGUGCCGGCUGGUUAAUAGAGAUAAUUGAAUGAUCUAACAUUUGAUGUUGACAGAAACCCCGGUUAAAGGCGGCCUUAACGUGAGGGUCCUAAGGUAGCGAAAUGCCUUGGCCGUUAAAUGCGGUCUUGCAUGAAUGGUGUAACGAUACAACAACUGUCUCUAUGAUUGACUCUGUGAAAUUGGAAUAGCUGUGCAGAUACAGCUUACCUCUAGUUAGACGAGAAGACCCUAUGCAGCUUUACUGUCACUAAUAAUAGAAUACGAUUAACAUCUUUCAGACUAGAAGGCUAAUAGAUAUAUAUAAAUAUGAGAAUCCUUUAAUUGUUUUUUGUACGAAUGAGAUGGUUUAAGUUUAAGACGAUGAGAUGUUUUGCAUCUUUGACUACUUAUUUCCUUAAAUUCACCUAGUCUCUACCUAAUUUAGGUGUCCUUUGUGAAGGGAAGAUUACUAGGAGACAGUUUAUGUGGGGCACAGACCCUGUAAAGAGUAAACAGGAGUGUCUAAUAAAAUUAGAAUUUUGUUUGCAAUUUUAAAUAUUAUAACUAUUUGUUAUCGUAAUACUUACUUAUCUAUGUAUAUUUUAUAUGCAUAUAUAAUUAAAAGAAAUUUAUGAAGGUAGGAUUUUCACUAGUCAGAAAUUAGAUGUAAUUUAAAAGAUUAUGAGUUUUCUCUAAUCUUUUAUAGCUAUUGUUAGUUAUAUGCUAAUAAUAGUAAUGUAUUAUACUUACAAAGCUCAACGGCUAAAUCCUGCCUUACUGUUUGAUUAUCUACAAAUCUUACAGUUGCGUAAGCAGGGCAUAGGAUCACAAGAUACAAUAAGGAAAGAUCUUGGAUUAUUGGAAAAGCUACGCUAGGGAUGUUUGUCCUUUAAUAUUUUUAUACAUUGUCUAUAAAAAUAAUUGGUAUAUAAA
Molecule: ribosomal RNA, 2430 nt
Filed under: Emericellopsis fuci
Lineage: Eukaryota; Fungi; Ascomycota; Sordariomycetes; Hypocreales; Bionectriaceae
Description: Acremonium fuci large subunit ribosomal RNA
Rfam family: Bacterial large subunit ribosomal RNA
Source: RNAcentral